Molecule: ribosomal RNA, 264 nt
Filed under: uncultured archaeon
Lineage: Archaea
Description: partial 16S ribosomal RNA
Rfam family: Archaeal small subunit ribosomal RNA
Source: RNAcentral
AGUCACUGACAUUAGAUACCCCGGUAGUCCCAGCCGUAAACUAUGCGCGUUAGGUGUAUCGGUGACCACGAGUUACCGAGGUGCCGAAGGGAAACCGUGAAACGUGCCGCCUGGGAAGUACGGUCGCAAGGCUGAAACUUAAAGGAAUUGGCGGGGGAGCACCACAACAGGUGGAGCCUGCGGUUUAAUUGGACUCAACGCCGGACAACUCACCGGGACGACAGCAAUAUGUAGGCCAGGCUGAAGACCUUGCCUGAAUCGCUG